GCAUAUCAAUAAGCGGAGGAAAAGAAAAUAACAAUGAUUCCCUUAGUAACGGCGAGUGAAGGGGGAUAAGCUCAAAUUUUAAAUCUGCUAGGUCUUACCUAUCAGAGUUGUAAUUUGAAGAAGCGUUUUCCGCGUCUCGGUUGACCCAAAUCCUUUGGGAUAUGGUAUCAUGGAGGGUGAGAAUCCCGUUCGGUUGACCUUAUGACGCUUUACGAUACGUUUUCAAAGAGUCGAGUUGUUUGGGAUUGCAGCUCAAAAUGGGAGGUAAAUUUCUCCUAAGGCUAAAUAUUGGCGAGAGACCGAUAGCGAACAAGUACCGUGAGGGAAAGAUGAAAAGAACUUUGAAAAGAGAGUAAAAUAGUACGUGAAAUUGUUGAAAGGGAAACGAUUGAAGUCAGUCGUACCGACGGAAAAUCAGCUCUUUGAGUGCGGACUUGUGGGCUUACGUGAGUUUUAACACCUCGCUGUUUGCAACGUUCGUGUUUUUUGGGUGUACUUUUUCGUAUGGUUGGCCAAUAUCAGUUUUGAUCGCUAUAAAAUGACCGGCGGAAUGUAGCUUCGAUCUCGAUUGAAGUGUUAUAGCCUCUGGUAGAUGUGGUGAUUGGGACUGAGGAUUGCAACGAAUACCUUUUGGGCUAUCCGUCUGAUCUCUGAAGGUUGCUUAGGUGCCGAAAGCAUGCUUACGGUUAUUUAAGUUGACAGUCAAAAGGUUAGAACGUGAUUAUAUUCGUUAAGGAUGUUGACGUA
Molecule: ribosomal RNA, 747 nt
Filed under: uncultured Glomerales
Lineage: Eukaryota; Fungi; Glomeromycota; Glomeromycetes; Glomerales; Glomeraceae
Description: LSU rRNA
Rfam family: Eukaryotic large subunit ribosomal RNA
Source: RNAcentral